Daphnia magna is the source of this 766-nucleotide long non-coding RNA. RefSeq lists it as uncharacterized. The record is from RefSeq and is a predicted model, not a curated record. NCBI's taxonomy places the organism in Eukaryota, Metazoa, Arthropoda, Branchiopoda, Diplostraca, Daphniidae. The transcript has 3 exons.
UUUUUUUUCAAAAUACUCGAAUCAAGCAGCUACUAGGAUGUUGACACACUGUUCCUACGAAAUGUGGUGUCCCAUUGAAGAAGAGACUCGCAUUGACUUGUACUGUCGAGGAGGUAAAAGAAUUGCCUUGUGGCCACAUGUACCACUUAAAAUGUGGGCCCAAAGAGAGCAACAAACAAUUGAGCAGUGUCUUCUGUCGGAUUGAGGUGGAGAAGGUGAUCCCAAAAUGCGGGCACAGAGUAAAAAUCGAGUGUGGGAAAAAGCUGUCCAGGAAUGACUGUACUUCCAUGUGUGAGAAAAAACUACACUGUGGACAUCGCUGCAGGCUCCUUUGUCGAGAGCAAUGCGCCAAUUUCGGGAUCAGAACCAUACCCAGUAGUGAUCUGCGUAUACAAUUAAUCAUGUAUAACAAACACUAUAAUGUUGUCAAAAGAAAGCAAAAAGUACGUCUCUUUACCCGGUCAAUAAUCCAAAUGCAUGUUGCGGCCGUAAUCCACUCUCUUGCGUGCACAUUGCAUUCGAAGAACUCAACACGUUUAUUGGCAGAAAGAUGAGUGCUGAUGAUUAACUGAACAAUGUCACGACCCUCUGCGGUUGUCCCUCCAACCUUAGUCGACACUAUUGGGUGAACACUGUUUAUGGGAAUAUGGAUUUACCUCUUCGUACGUGUGAUAAUUUUCAAGAUCAAUUGCUUUUCCACUGUAAAGUGCGCGUCGGAGAGCGAUGGUCUCUUGUUCCUGUCGCACCAACUCACCAACAUCAGCAA